RNAcentral lists this ribosomal RNA (465 nucleotides) under uncultured bacterium. RNAcentral describes it as "partial 16S ribosomal RNA". It matches the Rfam family "Bacterial small subunit ribosomal RNA", at positions 28 to 507 of the family's 1533-position model. The record is from RNAcentral.
GACGAACGCUGGCGGCGUGCUUAACACAUGCAAGUCGAACGGAAAGGCCCCCUUGUGGGGUACUCGAGUGGCGAACGGGCGAGUAACACGUGAGUAACCUACCCUUCUCUUUGGGAUAACUUCAGGAAACUGGGGCUAAUACCGGAUAGGAGCUCCUGCUGCAUGGUGGGGGUUGGAAAGUUUCGGCGGUUGGGGAUGGACUCGCGGCUUAUCAGCUUGUUGGUGGGGUAGUGGCUAACCAAGGCUUUGACGGGUAGCCGGCAUGAGAGGGUGACCGGCCACAUUGGGACUGAGGUACGGACCAGACUCCUACGGGAGGCAGCAGUGGGGAAUAUUGCACAAUGGGCGGAAGCCUGAUGCAGCAACGCCGCGUGCGGGAUGACGGCCUUCGGGUUGUAAACCGCUUUCGCAUGUGACGAAGCGUGAGUGACGGUAAUGGGUAAAGAAGCACCGGCUAACUACGUG